RNAcentral lists this unclassified non-coding RNA (345 nucleotides) under soil metagenome. Its description in RNAcentral is "partial contains 5.8S ribosomal RNA, internal transcribed spacer 2, and large subunit ribosomal RNA". The stretch from base 1 to 120 matches the Rfam family "5.8S ribosomal RNA", at positions 35 to 154 of the family's 154-position model. The record is from RNAcentral.
GAUGAAGAACGUAGCGAAAUGCGAAAAGUAGUGUGAAUUGCAGAAUUCAGUGAAUCAUCGAGUCUUUGAACGCACAUUGCGCCCCCUGGUAUUCCGGGGGGCAUGCCUGUCCGAGCGUCAUUGCUGCCCUCAAGCACGGCUUGUGUGUUGGGCCUCCGUCCUCCUCCCGGGGGACGGGCCCGAAAGGCAGCGGCGGCACCGCGUCCGGUCCUCGAGCGUAUGGGGCUUCGUCACCCGCUCUUGUAGGCCCGGCCGGCGCUUGCCGACACAUCAAUCUUUUUUCCAGGUUGACCUCGGAUCAGGUAGGGAUACCCGCUGAACUUAAGCAUAUCAAUAAGCGGAGGA